AGUUAUGUUAAACUUUCCUAGCAGUCCUUCACAAACAGGGAACAGUCUGUCUAUUCUCUCCAUCUGUCAGCUGCUGCUGGCUCUUCCUCCUCCUCUUCCUCACACACUGCUGAGUUUGUCCUGGUGGAUCAUCAGGGCUGCAAAGCCUCACAGAUGAUGUGCAGCAGUGGGUCCCUCAGUCUGUCCUCACUCUGGACACUUGCAGUCGUCACACAUGGAAAUCAAAUGUGUGAUAAGCUGCAGGAUUCAAACACAAGUGUGACUUAUAAACACAUGUUCAUACUUUUAUUCCACAAUCAGAGAGAAAGAAACAGAGAGAGAGUGCAGGACAGACAGACAGGUGACAGUCUCAGGUGUACACACUGCUACAAACAGGAGGAUUUAGUGUUUGUGUUAUUACGAGUGUAAACAAGAAGAGUUCCAGAUGGUGCAGUGGACACAUGUGUGACUGCUGUGAUUAAAGCAUCUUUCUUUCAGCUUAACGAGUGAACCGUCAGCUCGUUCAAACACACGUUAAAGUCCGUUUGGCUCGACACCAGCGAACAGAGGCAGCAAUAUAACACAGCUAACAUUAACAGUGCAGUGGAUCCUGCUUGUGCCGUCAUAUUCAGGACUGCAAACCGAGCAGCAUCACUGACUUUCAGCCUGUUGUGUUUGUGGAUAUAUGACUGACUUUAAUUAUCCAUAAAUCAUCAGAUUCUCUGUAAGAUUAAAGUCAACUAUUGAACGGUGGAUAUUUUGAAGUAAAGGCUUUAAAACCAAGUUAGUACAAACGUCACUAAUGUCACAUAACUUUGCCGACAUGUGGCCAACAGCAAUGUUUUAAUUAGUGAUGGGACGUUCUGUAUCGAGGCUUUGAAGCUUGUGUCGAGUAAUGGAGGGGGCGUUUCCGCGAUGCGCGUAUCGAGGCUUGCUUCAUUUAUGGGAGGAGCUGAAAAUGAUGACGUCCGAAGCCUCGCUGCCCGGCUGUACCACGUGACUGGUUCAUGAAGUGGUUUGAACUUUGCCGCGAGAUAUGACAGCGAUAUAAACCCUCAGACUUCAUUCAAAAUGUGGGUGUUUGAUGGAGAGUUGUUAGUGAGAGUUUGGAGACAGUUUGGAGGUUUAUGAGAGUGAGGAGAGAAAGUCAGGAGAGAAUGGAGCCAGCUAAGAAGAGGAGGAUGUCCUCCCCUGUGUGGGAACAUUUUGAUCUUAUUCCUCCCAACAAGGUGAAGUGUUUGCUAUGUGCCAGGCAGCUGGGAUAUAACAACACCUCAUCCAUGCUUAGGCACUACAGAGCUUUGCAUGAGAAUAAGGGGGACACCGAUUGUGGAGCAAGACCAGGAGAACAAUCUCCAAUAGAUGAAGACCUGGUUAGCAACAAUGCUAGUGCUAGCGGCGCUAACGGCUGCAGACAGGAAGAUACUGCCAGCACCGGAAACGUGCUCGUCAUCUCCGAGCAUGAAGUAAGGAGAGCCUUCAAGAGAGUGAACACCAGGAAAGCAGCAGGACCAGACGGCAUCCCAGGUCGUAUCCUCAGAGACUGCGCAUACCAGCUAGCUCCUGUGUUCACUGAGAUAUUCAACAUCUCUUUAUCUCAGUCGGUGAUCCCCACAUGCUUCAAAGAGUCCAUCAUUGUUCCUGUCCCGAAGAAACCCCACCCUGCUUCUCUCAAUGACUAUCGCCCUGUAGCCCUCACCUCAGUAGUGAUGAAGUGCUUUGAACGCCUGGUCAGAGACUUCAUCAUUUCUUCACUACCAGACACACUGGACCCACUACAGUUCGCUUACCGUCCAAAUCGUUCCACAGACGAUGCCAUCUCUCAUCUCCUCCACACAUCACUCACUCACUUGGACACUAGAAGGGGG
Astatotilapia calliptera (eastern happy) is the source of this 1847-nucleotide long non-coding RNA. The record is from Ensembl. Lineage: Eukaryota; Metazoa; Chordata; Actinopteri; Cichliformes; Cichlidae.